RNAcentral lists this transfer RNA (73 nucleotides) under Thermoprotei archaeon. Its description in RNAcentral is "tRNA-Pro". It matches the Rfam family "tRNA". Rfam says of the family: Transfer RNA (tRNA) molecules are approximately 80 nucleotides in length. RNAcentral also lists the same sequence under 4 other names. The record is from RNAcentral. Lineage: Archaea; Thermoproteati; Thermoproteota; Thermoprotei.
GGGGCCAUGGGCUAGCAUGGUAGGCUACGUGGCUUGGGCCCACGGGACUGGAGUUCAAAUCUCCGUGGCCCCA